Molecule: ribosomal RNA, 253 nt
Filed under: uncultured bacterium
Lineage: Bacteria
Description: partial 16S ribosomal RNA
Rfam family: Bacterial small subunit ribosomal RNA
Source: RNAcentral
UACGAAGGGGGCUAGCGCUGUUCGGAAUCACUGGGCGUAAAGCGCUCGUAGGCGGAUCUUUAAGUCAGGGGUGAAAUCCCGAGGCUCAACCUCGGAACUGCCUUUGAUACUGGGGAUCUCGAGUCCGGGAGAGGUGAGUGGAACUGCGAGUGUAGAGGUGAAAUUCGUAGAUAUUCGCAAGAACACCAGUGGCGAAGGCGGCUCACCGGCCCGGUACUGACGCUGAGGAGCGAAAGCGUGGGGAGCAAACAGG